UCCCAGGUGGCUCAGUUGGUAAAGAAUCUGCCUGCAAUGCAGAAGACCCGGGUUCGAUCCCUGGGUAGGGAA
Molecule: transfer RNA, 72 nt
Filed under: Bos taurus (domestic cattle)
Lineage: Eukaryota; Metazoa; Chordata; Mammalia; Artiodactyla; Bovidae
Also listed under: 1 other name
Rfam family: tRNA
About the family: Transfer RNA (tRNA) molecules are approximately 80 nucleotides in length. Their secondary structure includes four short double-helical elements and three loops (D, anti-codon, and T loops). Further hydrogen bonds mediate the characteristic L-shaped molecular structure. tRNAs have two regions of fundamental functional importance: the anti-codon, which is responsible for specific mRNA codon recognition, and the 3' end, to which the tRNAs corresponding amino acid is attached (by aminoacyl-tRNA synthetases). tRNAs cope with the degeneracy of the genetic code in two manners: having more than one tRNA (with a specific anti-codon) for a particular amino acid; and 'wobble' base-pairing, i.e. permitting non-standard base-pairing at the 3rd anti-codon position.
Source: Rfam by way of RNAcentral